GCCCGCACGAGGUGCGUGUACCACGGAGAGGGAUAGAGCGCGGGAAUGAAGGAGGCACAUGUCACUCGAUGAGGCCAGGCCCUCCAUUGUCACGCCGCUCCAUGCGGCCCAGGUGGAGAGAGAGGACGCCAGGUAGCGGGUGGGCGGUAGACACGGGCAGACCUGGGCCUGUACUCCAGCACGGCCACUGACCAGAUUACGCCUUUGGUGAGUCCCUGCACCUCUCUGAGCCUCAGUUUACCCACCAGUAAAAUGGGGACGGUAACAGUAUCUCCCUCACAGGAUGACAGAUGAAACAGUCAUGGAUGCAAAGAACCUGACACACGGUGCUCAGGACGUGAGUCUCCUUGUCAGGACGCUGGUGAGAGGGGCGUGUUCACGGCCUCGGACCUCCAGCAGGAAAGGGCACACUGGACUGUCUCCAUCUGCCGACCAAGCCAGCAGAGGCUCUGAGCCCUGGCUGCAGGGGGCACCCCACCUACUCCUGGCCUGGCCCAUACCCCUCGCAGGGGACUCUGGGGGCCGGGGGACUCUGGCUGUGUCUCAGGCUUGCUGGGGAGAGAGGUCCAAGUCCUUGCCCUCUUGUGCCUUGUCGGCUGUCUCUGUUAGAAAGGGGUUUUCCUUUUUCUCACGCCCCUUUCCUAGAACCACCACCAAGGAUAAAUAAAUGGAGAAAACCUGACAUGAUCCAGACUUGUGCCUGGUGGGGCUCAGCUGCUUCUCUGUGAGAUGAGACUGUGUGUGGGUCAAGGCUAUUUCUGGGCGGAAGGGAAAGGGGCAUUGACCCGCGGGCCAUCAGAAAAAGGACUCUGUCCUCAAGGGGCUUGCACUGGACGCAUCAGUGAAAACCCUGGAAGCAUUUUCAGAACACACUUAAAGCUACAGAUUGCACAGUCCUGUAGCUGAGUUUUCGCAGACCCUUUCAAGGGUCACUGCUGGCCCCACCCACACCAGAAAGCCCCUCCUGCCUGCUCGGCUCACCGGGACCCUUCUUUCCCACACUACACGGCUCAGCUUUAGGCGCUGCAGGAUGGGAUUCCUCCUGCCUCCACCUACCACAUCCAACUUCAAAGACCCCAGAGCCUGGGUCAGAUGUGCUAGCUGGCCCCAGGCCUCUGCACACACUGCACCCCACUCCUGCCCUCCCUGACCUCUUUGCUAACGCCUACCCCUCUCUUAGAAUUCAGCCCAGGAAGAGCCUCCUUACAGAGCUCCUCAUUCGUCAGAGUGCCCCACAGAGCCCCCUUGGCACCCUAGG
This 1258-nucleotide long non-coding RNA is filed under the name Ursus maritimus (polar bear). RNAcentral's name for it is "lncRNA (ENSUMAG00000004896.1)". Lineage: Eukaryota; Metazoa; Chordata; Mammalia; Carnivora; Ursidae. The record is from RNAcentral.